GACGAACGCUGGCGGCGUGCCUAAUACAUGCAAGUCGAACGCUGAAGGAGGAGCUUGCUUCUCUGGAUGAGUUGCGAACGGGUGAGUAACGCGUAGGUAACCUGCCUGGUAGCGGGGGAUAACUAUUGGAAACGAUAGCUAAUACCGCAUAAGAGUAGAUGUUGCAUGACAUUUGCUUAAAAGUUGCAAUUGCAUCACUACCAGAUGGAGCUGCGUUGUAUUGGCUAGUUGGUGGGGUAACGGCUCACCAAGGCGACGAUACAUAGCCGAACGGAGAGGGGGAUCGGCCACACUGGGACUGAGACCGGGCCCAGACUCCUACGGGAGGCAGCAGUAGGGAAUCGUCGGCAAUGGGCGGAAGUCUGACCGAGCAACGCCGAGUGAGUGAAGAAGGUUUCCGGGUCGUAAAGCUCUGUUUUAGGGGAAGAACGAGUGUGAGAGUGGAAAGUUCACAGUGUGACGGUAUCUGACCAGAAAGGGACGGCUAACUACGUG
RNAcentral lists this ribosomal RNA (495 nucleotides) under uncultured bacterium. RNAcentral describes it as "partial 16S ribosomal RNA". It matches the Rfam family "Bacterial small subunit ribosomal RNA", at positions 28 to 507 of the family's 1533-position model. The record is from RNAcentral.